GAUGAACGCUCGCUACAGGCUUAACACAUGCAAGUCGAGGGGAAACGGCAUCGAAAGCUUGCUUUUGAUGGGCGUCGACCGGCGCACGGGUGAGUAACGCGUAUCCAACCUGCCCAUCACUUGGGAAUAACCUUGCGAAAGUAAGACUAAUGCCCAAUGACAUCCCACGAAGGCAUCCGAAUGGGAUUAAAGAUUUAUCGGUGAUGGAUGGGGAUGCGUCUGAUUAGCUUGUUGGCGGGGUGACGGCCCACCAAGGCAACGAUCAGUAGGGGUUCUGAGAGGAAGGUCCCCCACAUUGGAACUGGGACACGGUCCAAACUCCUACGGGAGGCAGCAGUGAGGAAUAUUGGGCAAUGGGCGAGAGCCUGAACCAGCCAAGUAGCGUGCAGGAGGACGGCCCUAUGGGUUGUAAACUGCUUUUAGAAGGGAAUAAAGUGGGUCACGUGUGACUUUUUGCAUGUACCUUAUGAAUAAGGACCGGCUAAUUCCGUG
RNAcentral lists this ribosomal RNA (492 nucleotides) under uncultured bacterium. RNAcentral's name for it is "partial 16S ribosomal RNA". It matches the Rfam family "Bacterial small subunit ribosomal RNA", at positions 28 to 507 of the family's 1533-position model. The record is from RNAcentral.